CGGGACGGGUGAGUAAUGUCUGGGAAACUGCCUGAUGGAGGGGGAUAACUACUGGAAACGGUAGCUAAUACCGCAUAACGUCGCAAGACCAAAGAGGGGGACCUUCGGGCCUCUUGCCAUCGGAUGUGCCCAGAUGGGAUUAGCUAGUAGGUGGGGUAACGGCUCACCUAGGCGACGAUCCCUAGCUGGUCUGAGUGGAUGACCAGCCACACUGGAACUGAGACACGGUCCAG
RNAcentral lists this ribosomal RNA (233 nucleotides) under uncultured bacterium. Its description in RNAcentral is "partial 16S ribosomal RNA". It matches the Rfam family "Bacterial small subunit ribosomal RNA", at positions 100 to 334 of the family's 1533-position model. The record is from RNAcentral.